ACGCACGCUGGCGGCGUGCUUAACACCUGCAAGUCGCACGGAAAGGCCCUGCUUGCAGGGUACUCGAGUGGCGAACGGGUGAGUAACACGUGGGUGAUCUGCCCUGCACUUCGGGAUAAGCCUGGGAAACUGGGUCUAAUACCGGAUAGGAGCCAUUUUUAGUGUGAUGGUUGGAAAGUUUUUUCGGUGUAGGAUGAGCUCGCGGCCUAUCAGCUUGUUGGUGGGGUAAUGGCCUACCAAGGCGGCGACGGGUAGCCGGCCUGAGAGGGUGGACGGCCACAUUGGGACUGAGAUACGGCCCAGACUCCUACGGGAGGCAGCAGUGGGGAAUAUUGCACAAUGGGCGCAAGCCUGAUGCAGCGACGCCGCGUGGGGGAUGACGGCCUUCGGGUUGUAAACUCCUUUCGCUAGGGACGAAGCUUUUUGUGACGGUACCUAGAGAAGAAGCACCGGCUAACUACGUG
RNAcentral lists this ribosomal RNA (464 nucleotides) under uncultured bacterium. RNAcentral describes it as "partial 16S ribosomal RNA". It matches the Rfam family "Bacterial small subunit ribosomal RNA", at positions 29 to 507 of the family's 1533-position model. The record is from RNAcentral.